This 67-nucleotide transfer RNA is filed under the name Curculionoidea sp. 8 KM-2017. RNAcentral describes it as "tRNA-His". The record is from RNAcentral. Lineage: Eukaryota; Metazoa; Arthropoda; Insecta; Coleoptera.
AUUUAAAUAGUUUAAUAAAAAUUUUAAUUUGUGGAAUUAAAGAUAUAGAAAAUUUCUAUUUUAAAUA